RNAcentral lists this ribosomal RNA (492 nucleotides) under uncultured bacterium. Its description in RNAcentral is "partial 16S ribosomal RNA". It matches the Rfam family "Bacterial small subunit ribosomal RNA", at positions 29 to 507 of the family's 1533-position model. The record is from RNAcentral.
AGUGAACGCUGGCGGUAGGCCUAACACAUGCAAGUCGAACGGCAGCACAGUAAGAGCUUGCUCUUACGGGUGGCGAGUGGCGGACGGGUGAGGAAUACAUCGGAAUCUACUUUUUCGUGGGGGAUAACGUAGGGAAACUUACGCUAAUACCGCAUACGACCUACGGGUGAAAGCAGGGGAUCUUCGGACCUUGCGCGAUUGAAUGAGCCGAUGUCGGAUUAGCUAGUUGGCGGGGUAAAGGCCCACCAAGGCGCCGAUCCGUAGCUGGUCUGAGUGGAUGAUCGGCCACACUGGAACUGAGACACGGUCCAGACUCCUACGGGAGGCAGCAGUGGGGAAUAUUGGACAAUGGGCGCAAGCCUGAUCCAGCCAUACCGCGUGGGUGAAGAAGGCCUUCGGGUUGUAAAGCCCUUUUGUUGGGAAAGAAAAGCAGCAGGUUAAUACCCCGCUGUUCUGACGGUACCCAAAGAAUAAGCACCGGCUAACUUCGUG